RNAcentral lists this ribosomal RNA (159 nucleotides) under Russula foetens. RNAcentral's name for it is "5.8S ribosomal RNA". It matches the Rfam family "5.8S ribosomal RNA". Rfam says of the family: 5.8S ribosomal RNA (5.8S rRNA) is a component of the large subunit of the eukaryotic ribosome. It is transcribed by RNA polymerase I as part of the 45S precursor that also contains 18S and 28S rRNA. Lineage: Eukaryota; Fungi; Basidiomycota; Agaricomycetes; Russulales; Russulaceae. The record is from RNAcentral.
AAUACAACUUUCAACAACGGAUCUCUUGGCUCUCGCAUCGAUGAAGAACGCAGCGAAAUGCGAUACGUAAUGUGAAUUGCAGAAUUCAGUGAAUCAUCGAAUCUUUGAACGCACCUUGCGCCCUUUGGCAUUCCGAGGGGCACACCCGUUUGAGUGUCA